Molecule: long non-coding RNA, 677 nt
Filed under: Sus scrofa (pig)
Lineage: Eukaryota; Metazoa; Chordata; Mammalia; Artiodactyla; Suidae
Description: lncRNA (ENSSSCG00070004308.1)
Source: RNAcentral
CCCAGGAUUAGGUUGUUUGCCUUCCAUUGACACUUAAAGUUCCCUGAGCUGCCCUCUGUUCUGGAAGGACCUCAGCUAGUGAGUUUCUGUGCUUCUGUGUCUAUUUCCCUGUCAUAGGCUCCUCAAGGACUGCCCUGCAUUUUGAGUCACCUUUGUAUCAUCAGCAGUUCCUACUGCCCACAUUCAACUUUGUCAAGGGCAUUAUUGUGGAGAGAAGGAUUUCUGGAGAGCAGUCUUGAAGCAGGAAUAGAAAUUUGCUGAGGAUGAAGGGAGUGAGAAAUGUUCCCAGCAUGGAAAGCAGCGUGCAAAGGCUGGGGAGCAUGAAAAAAAAAAAAAAAAAAUAGCUCACUCAGAAAGCUGCGAGAAGUGACAAAGCAAGUUCUUUGAUCAUGUAUGUAUAGGGGGGACCCCUGGCAUUCUGUGCUAUUCUAAAGGGUUUCAACUUUCUUCCAAAGGAGAUGGAAAAUUAUUGAGGCUGUUUAGAGCUGGCAGUGACACGAAGCAGGUAUUGCAUAGGCGAGGAGUUAUGCGUCCAGGCUGAUGACUAAGUUUCUCUCUUGAGUCUAUGUGUAGGUGAUGGCAAUGCAGCUCCCAGAAGUACCCAAAGAAAAGGCUGCCUGGGAGAAGAUGAUAAUGAGCCACACAUGGAGUAUGUUAAAUUCAAGGACACACGAGAU